UAGGGAAUCUUCGGCAAUGGACGGAAGUCUGACCGAGCAACGCCGCGUGAGUGAAGAAGGUUUUCGGAUCGUAAAGCUCUGUUGUAAGAGAAGAACGAGUGUGAGAGUGGAAAGUUCACACUGUGACGGUAACUUACCAGAAAGGGACGGCUAACUACGUG
This 161-nucleotide ribosomal RNA is filed under the name uncultured bacterium. RNAcentral describes it as "partial 16S ribosomal RNA". It matches the Rfam family "Bacterial small subunit ribosomal RNA", at positions 355 to 507 of the family's 1533-position model. The record is from RNAcentral.